AGUCGUAACAAGGUAACCGUAGGUGAACCUGCGGUUGGAUCAUUAUCUAUCUUGUCUAGCUAGAAGGUUGAACUUUGGUUUAACUAACUAGUCAAGACAUUAAAUAAUGUGACUUGAUUGUGAAUGUUAAGCAAUUGACGCUAACAAUCAAGAAACAACCACACCAUGUGAAACGUAUCUAAACUCGACUCUAACUAGUCGACUCUAUUGAGUUGGUCUAGGAAGAGUCUUGAAUUUUAAACACCAUUAUAACCAAGUGAAUCAAUUUCUAGUAGUAGAAUUAAAAAACAACUUUUGACAACGGAUCUCUUGGCUCUC
Molecule: unclassified non-coding RNA, 318 nt
Filed under: fungal sp.
Lineage: Eukaryota; Fungi
Description: partial internal transcribed spacer region
Rfam family: Eukaryotic small subunit ribosomal RNA (bases 1-45)
Source: RNAcentral